CAAUGAAAGAAAGUUACCUCUGUGUCAUUCUGAUUUCUCCACAUCACUUCCUGUCCCUCCCUCUGAUCCACAAAACACAGCAGAGACUGGAGCUGGUUCUUCAUAUUCAACAUGACGCCACCUCGUCUCAUCACAUCCAUCAUCACUGUGUUCUGGAUUAAGGGUGUUUACCUCAGUAAAGAAAAAACAGUGUUUCAGACUCCAGCCGACCUGUUGAUGAAACCAAAUGGUGAAGUCAACAUGAGAUUAACACAUCAAAUCCCGAACUAUGACACGAUUCUCUGGUACCAGCGCUCAGCAGGAGACAGUUCCCUGAAGCUGAUCGGCUAUGUUUCUUAUGAUUCACCCAAUAUUGAGCCAAAUAUUCCGAGCCGCUUCAAUGUGAGUGGAAAUGGAGAGAAAACAGCUUUUCUUCAAAUCAAGAACCUGAAGCACCCUGAGGACAGUGGAGAAUAUUUUGGAGCAGCAACAAUACACAGUAAUAAAGACUGAGAGAGCCGUCGUUCAAAAACCUCCAUAAACGAU
Molecule: non-coding RNA, 525 nt
Organism: Hippoglossus stenolepis (Pacific halibut)
Lineage: Eukaryota; Metazoa; Chordata; Actinopteri; Pleuronectiformes; Pleuronectidae
Source: the annotation of a RefSeq genome assembly